RNAcentral lists this ribosomal RNA (497 nucleotides) under uncultured bacterium. Its description in RNAcentral is "partial 16S ribosomal RNA". It matches the Rfam family "Bacterial small subunit ribosomal RNA", at positions 28 to 507 of the family's 1533-position model. The record is from RNAcentral.
GAUGAACGCUGGCGGCGUGCCUAAUACAUGCAAGUCGAGCGAACAGACGAGGAGCUUGCUCCUCUGACGUUAGCGGCGGACGGGUGAGUAACACGUGGAUAACCUACCUAUAAGACUGGGAUAACUUCGGGAAACCGGAGCUAAUACCGGAUAAUAUAUUGAACCGCAUGGUUCAAUAGUGAAAGACGGUUUUGCUGUCACUUAUAGAUGGAUCCGCGCCGCAUUAGCUAGUUGGUAAGGUAACGGCUUACCAAGGCAACGAUGCGUAGCCGACCUGAGAGGGUGAUCGGCCACACUGGAACUGCGCCACGGUCCAGACUCCUACGGGAGGCACCAGUAGGGAAUCUUCCGCAAUGGGCGAAAGCCUGACGGAGCAACGCCGCGUGAGUGAUGAAGGUCUUCGGAUCUUAAAACUCUGUUAUUAGGGAAGAACAAAUGUGUAAGUAACUAUGCACGUCUUGACGGUACCUAAUCAGAAAGCCACGGCUAACUACGUG